This 21-nucleotide small nuclear RNA is filed under the name Arabidopsis thaliana (thale cress). RNAcentral describes it as "snRNA_03890". Lineage: Eukaryota; Viridiplantae; Streptophyta; Magnoliopsida; Brassicales; Brassicaceae. The record is from RNAcentral.
UCAAUCUGCAUCAAAACUCCU